AGUGUGGCUCAGUGGUGGAGCACUUGUCUAGAAUGUAAAAGGCUCUGGGCUCAAUUCCAAGCACU
RNAcentral lists this transfer RNA (65 nucleotides) under Mesocricetus auratus (golden hamster). It matches the Rfam family "tRNA". From Rfam's summary of the family: Transfer RNA (tRNA) molecules are approximately 80 nucleotides in length. Their secondary structure includes four short double-helical elements and three loops (D, anti-codon, and T loops). Lineage: Eukaryota; Metazoa; Chordata; Mammalia; Rodentia; Cricetidae. The record is from Rfam by way of RNAcentral.